UGGGGAAUUUUGGACAAUGGGCGAAAGCCUGAUCCAGCAAUGCCGCGUGUGUGAAGAAGGCCUUCGGGUUGUAAAGCACUUUUGUCCGGAAAGAAAUCCUUGGCUCUAAUACAGUCGGGGGAUGACGGUACCGGAAGAAUAAGCACCGGCUAACUACGUGCCAGCAGCCGCGGUAAUACGUAGGGUGCAAGCGUUAAUCGGAAUUACUGGGCGUAAAGCGUGCGCAGGCGGUUUGCUAAGACCGAUGUGAAAUCCCCGGGCUCAACCUGGGAACUGCAUUGGUGACUGGCAGGCUAGAGUAUGGCAGAGGGGGGUAGAAUUCCACGUGUAGCAGUGAAAUGCGUAGAGAUGUGGAGGAAUACCGAUGGCGAAGGCAGCCCCCUGGGCCAAUACUGACGCUCAUACACGAAAGCGUGGGGAGCAAACAGGAUUAGAUACCCUGGUAGUCCACGCCCUAAACGAUGUCAACUAGUUGUUGGGGAUUCAUUUUCCUUAGUAACGUAGCUAACGCGUGAAGUUGACCGCCUGGGGAGUACGGUCGCAAGAUUAAAACUCAAAUGGAAUUGACGGGGUCAUAGCUGUUUCCU
This 587-nucleotide ribosomal RNA is filed under the name uncultured bacterium. RNAcentral's name for it is "partial 16S ribosomal RNA". It matches the Rfam family "Bacterial small subunit ribosomal RNA", at positions 355 to 1375 of the family's 1533-position model. The record is from RNAcentral.